Molecule: ribosomal RNA, 250 nt
Filed under: uncultured bacterium
Lineage: Bacteria
Description: partial 16S ribosomal RNA
Rfam family: Bacterial small subunit ribosomal RNA
Source: RNAcentral
UACGUAGGGGGCGAGCGUUGUCCGGAAUUACUGGGCGUAAAGCGCGCGUAGGCGGGCAUUUAAGUCAGAUGUGAAACCUCUGGGCUUAACCUAGAGCAUGCAUCUGAUACUGGAUGUCUUGAGUGUAGAAGAGGAGAGUGGAAUUCCUAGUGUAGCGGUGAAAUGCGUAGAUAUUAGGAGGAACACCAGUGGCGAAGGCGACUCUCUGGUCUAUAACUGACGCUGAGGCGCGAAAGCGUGGGGAGCAAAC